GAUCUUAAAUAUUUACGGCUUUUACCUUUCUCUCUCCUCUAACAAACCCCAACGACCUGAAAACCGUCGCCACCAAAAUACCCAAAAUACCCCCACGACAAAAAAUCGAGACCUGCGUCUCUGACCUCUGGACAGAAAGAACCACUCUCUUUCUCUUUCUCUUUCUCUUUCUAUCAUUAUCAUCUCUCUGCAACACAAAGAAGAAAGAAAGAAAGCAAGAGAAUUUCUGCAAAAAAAUAAAUAAAUUUGAAAUUAAUAAUGCUGAUGGAAAUUUCUCUCUCUACACGUCGAUUCCGUGCUGUCAUGGCUUCUUCAUCAAUUACUUCUCUCAUUCUCUCUUCUUUAACAUUUAUUACAAUUUCCACUUUCAUACUCCACCCUUCUUCUCGUGUCUUGUCUUCUCUCUUCCUAGUUUUACUAGGCUCGUCAGCCAAUGCUCUAAUGCCCGUUUCAUAUUUCCUUGUUUUUAGGGUUACUUCGGCAUUAUCUCCUUGUUUCUAUUUCAACACUCUCCCUGUUCUCCGUCCGCUUGUUUUGAGUUGAAGAACAAGUUUAGGUGGGUUUUGAGUUUUUUUGAAUAAUAAUGGAUGGGUAUAGGCAUUUGGUUGAUAUGGCUAUUUCAACACUCUCCCAUUCCUCCGCCUGGUUGUUUUGAGUUGAAGAACAAGCUUAGGUGGGUAAGGUGAUGUUUUAAGUUUUUUUUGAAAAAUAAUAAUGGAUGGGCAUUAGCAUUCUGUUGAUAUGCCUAUUUCAAAAGCUUAAGUAACCCAUUUGUUUUGAGUUGAAGAACUGGCUUAGGUAACCUUAUAUAUAUGAUUAAUGAAAGUCUCUUACUUUAUAUGUAUUGAUGUC
Impatiens glandulifera is the source of this 852-nucleotide long non-coding RNA. RefSeq lists it as uncharacterized. The transcript has 3 exons. NCBI's taxonomy places the organism in Eukaryota, Viridiplantae, Streptophyta, Magnoliopsida, Ericales, Balsaminaceae. The record is from RefSeq and is a predicted model, not a curated record.